UAUUAGCAGUGACAAAGAUUCUUGAGACAUAAUGUAACCCCCUCUUCAUAUCCAUUGUAGGAAAUUCAGAGAGAGCAACAUAAAACGAAAUAUUAAUUCAAACUUUUAACAGUCAAAACAUGGCACAACUGAAGAUUGUUGGGGGGUAAUGGGGGGUGUAGGGACAGGGGAAAAGGAAAAACAAGAGUUUUUCAUGUUCUGAUGCGAUUCCGUUUAAUAUAUCGCUUGACACAGGCACCCUGAACUUGAAAAGUUUGCAAUAUUAACUUUGCAUAUAAUUGAGCGUAUGAAUGAAGACAAAUACACAUGCUUGCACACGAACACACACACAUAUGCAUCCACACGCAAAAAAAAAAACAGUCGAGUUGUCAGGACAGGACAAGAAUCAUUCAUACAUCAAGAAAACACGUGAAAUUUGAAUAUGCAUGUUCUUGGUACAGAUUUCGCAAACACACCAUUUAAGUAUCUCUGUACCUCUCUCCAUCCGUGCGUGCUCUCAUUGCUCUAAACACUAAGGGGAGCGAUUUAUGGAAAUAAUUUAUAUUGCAAUUAUAUCAUUUGUGGGGUAGUAAGUGCUUAUUUAAAUUGAGGAAAUUAAGCUAAUGUGCAACCCCCCAAAAUAUAAACUCCGUUCUGUUUGCAUUCUGUGCAUAGAACCUCUAUAUGUGCAUUUGACCCCUGGAGUUGAGUUUUUUGACACAAAGGCCAGGUUCAGUUCAUUCUGCUGACAGCGUUUACAAAGACGUAACUGAGUUAAGGAGACAGCUCACCCAAAAUCUGAAUUCUGCCAAUAUUUACUCACCCUCACGUUAUUCCUAACCGGUUUAAACGGUUUUCGUCAGUGAAAGUCAGUGGGGUCCGAAACAGACCAGACAUUCACUAUACGUUGGGACAGGGUCAGAAAGUCUUUGGAAUGACAUGAGGUUCAGUGAAUGAUGACAGGAUCUUAAUUUUUACGUGAACGAUCCCUUUAAGGGGAAAUAGGGAUACAGGGACAAUGCAUGUUUACAGAUUUCAUAAUUAACUUAAUGUAAUAACAGAUGGUUAUAAAUUAUGCCUACAUCAGUAACUCCUUAAGCAAAUCCCUUGGAUAUAAAAAAAAAUGCUCUAUGUGAGUUGUUCAAAGACAAAAUGUAGAUAACUACAAUAAAACUCAAGUGAUGCAAUGAAGAGAUGUGCAUCUAAAAAGCCAAGGAACGAGCUAAUUAUCGCAGGAUUUCUCUACAUUGCACAAAGCUUUUAAGUGGAAUCUAAACGGAAUUAGAAAAGAUGAAGCAGAAUUUAACGACCUUCCAUCUGUUUCAUCGACAGCUGCAAUAUCUUUUGAACCAAGACAUCGAAUACAGACGUCGGAUACCUCAAGAACAGAAACAGAUUAAGAACUAUCCUGAAACAUCCCACGUUUUCUGAAGACAGACCACACUGGAAACCAUUACAUGCUGCAUUUAAAACAUGAAAUGGAAAAAAAAAAAAAACAACUCUUGCUAAGGAAAGACAUACAGAUACGUAGUGUGGUUAACGUCUUCCAUGUGUACUUAAAUCUUUUCACCUGGCAGUGUUUCAUGGUCAUGUACAGAAAACAUUGAUGCCAAAUGAUACCUGUAAAGACGCAAGCAUUGGCUUUCAGUCAAAAAUUAAAUCCCUCAAAAGGUUAAAAUUUAAAAAACAGCUCGUACAAACAUGGGACGUUCUUUUCAUAUUUGGCAAUAACACUGUUGGUGCAUUUUUUUGUUAGAUAGAAGAACACUGCCCUAAUUCUACCUGAGUGUCUUUUUUCUUUUCUUUCCUUUUUCACUUUUUUUUUUCUUUUCUUUUUUUUUUUAUAUUUAUUUUCUUUUGAGAUUGCGGACCGACAGUCCUUAGGUAGAGGUUAAAGUUAGUAGCCUAUGAUUAAUUACUAGAAUUUCAAAUAUGUACUGAUAUGUCAAUGUUUAAGGAAAUACAAUUCAAGAACAUAAUACAUAAAGUGCUACUGAUUCUUAUGUAUAAAUCAAUUAAUCUGUGAAAUGAUAAAACAGAGGAUAGACUGUAAGUUAAGAAUGCAUUUUCUGACAUUAGAAAGAGAAACAUGUACACAACGGCAGAAUUCCUGUUAACGGCGGUUCUAUUGAUGAGGCUCAUAUGUGCUUUAGCAAGCGCUUAACCGAUAAGCAUGGAAACCCAGGUACAAAUUAAAACAUACAAGAAAUAAAAAGCAUAAAAGUGUGAUUGUGGUGCU
Long non-coding RNA from Sinocyclocheilus rhinocerous, 2218 nucleotides. RefSeq lists it as uncharacterized. Lineage: Eukaryota; Metazoa; Chordata; Actinopteri; Cypriniformes; Cyprinidae. The transcript has 2 exons. The record is from RefSeq and is a predicted model, not a curated record.